UCUCAUCACUGUCACUCAUCUUCGCAGUGAAUUUCAAAUUUGGCGCGUGCCACC
Molecule: small RNA, 54 nt
Filed under: Caenorhabditis elegans
Lineage: Eukaryota; Metazoa; Nematoda; Chromadorea; Rhabditida; Rhabditidae
Description: Unclassified non-coding RNA C01H6.10
Source: RNAcentral